This is a long non-coding RNA of Herpailurus yagouaroundi (jaguarundi), 1483 nucleotides long. RefSeq lists it as uncharacterized. NCBI's taxonomy places the organism in Eukaryota, Metazoa, Chordata, Mammalia, Carnivora, Felidae. The record is from RefSeq and is a predicted model, not a curated record. The transcript has 2 exons.
CUGCAGGACGUGAUCCACUGAAGGGAUUUGAUGACCCUCACGCGGGUCUCAGGCUGCAGUUUGAAAAUCACCAGCCCCGGAGGGUGAGCGGAUGGAGGAGAACCGGGUCUUGACGACAAGGGCAAUUUUGCUAGUCGAACUCUGCCUUGGGGGACACGAGGGAUAAUGCAACGAUUCCACAUCCGACAUCCGGAUCUAGAGAGAAAUAGACAACCAACAAGUGGGCUGGCCACGCUGUGUUAUGCCGUUCACCCCUCACGACUGUCCUAUGGGGCGAGUACGAUCGUGGUCACAUUUUACAGAUAACACGGUUGAAGCUGAACUCACGCGGCAGAGAUGUGUUAACGGCACGGGUCUAUCCGGCUCCAAGUCUCGUGCUCUUUCCAUCACACCCCAUUGUCUAUCAGGGGACCUUUUCCUGCUCAACCCGAAAUUAGCCGAAGCAUCUGGGAUGGGUUUAGGGAUUCCAAGCGAGCACAGGUGCCGAGCAGAACUGGCCUUGCCAAUAAACAGAAGAGUCCGUACAAAGGGCUGGCCAGCAUGGGGCCUGAGGACACAGCUGUCUGUACAGUGUGAAAGGAAAACUUGCCAUGAUGAAUUAUAUUGAUGUAACAAUGAAAGAAUCGUUUUGGAAAGAAUUGAACUGUUAUUAAAACACAAAGGCACAUGAAUCGCUUCAACAUUGAUCUGCUCAGUGUAAUUUCUGAACUAGGCAGUAUUUUUUUUAACGUACGUUCUCAUUGAAGUUUGACAUAAGUAGAGAAGCUCACGCGGAGACCCAGCAUACGGCUUGAUGAAUUUUCUCAAAGUGAGCGCUAAGCCCAUGUGGCCGGCUCCUGGAUCAAGAAACACGCAUUUCGAGGACCCCAGAAGCUCCCCCUGGGCCCUCUGCCAGCUACCUCUCCCCUCCGUGAACCAUCGCCCGGGCUUCUGACACCUGAGAUUGGUCUUCUUUGUAGACGGAAAUUUUCUGAACAUUAUAGAAAUGGAUCGUACCGAGAUUUGUGGAUUGUACCGUACUAUGAGAUUUAUCCAUGAUGUGUAUGUAAAGUUUUGUUCAUGCUUAUUGACAUAUCGUAUUCCACGGUUUAUCCUGAGUGACUGUAUUGAAUGUAUGUGAAUAUACAUAGUAGAAUUCACCCAUAUUUCUGCUGAUGGCAGGUGCCUCUGAGGAGGCCCCCUGAGGAGCCAAGAGUAACGAAGAAGUUACUCGUAAGCAAGUCGUAAAGGGUUUCGUAAAGAAAACCGAGCACGUGGGGACUCCAAAAUGAAUUUGGCCUUCAUUUGGGCAAUAUUUAGUGAGUUUCUUCAAAGUGCCAGGCUCUGGAGGCGGUGCUGUGAACGCAGCGAUAAGUAACUAUUGUUCUUUUCUUGGCAAAACUCAGUCCAGCUGGAAGACAGUCAUGUAUAUAACCAGCAGUUACAUGACGUGGUAACAGACAAAAAAAAAAUUAAAAAAACAAAAAACCAAAAAAAAAAAACC